AGAGUUUGAUCAUGGCUCAGAUUGAACGCUGGCGGCAGGCCUAACACAUGCAAGUCGAACGGUAGCACAGGGAGCUUGCUCCUGGGUGACGAGCGGCGGACGGGUGAGUAAUGUCUGGGAAACUGCCCGAUAGAGGGGGAUAACUACUGGAAACGGUAGCUAAUACCGCAUAAUCUCUAAGGAGCAAAGCAGGGGACCUUCUGGCCUUGCGCGAUUGGAUAUGCCCAGGUGGGAUUAGCUAGUAGGUGAGGUAACGGCUCACCUAGGCGACGAUCCCUAGCUGGUCUGAGAGGAUGACCAGCCACACUGGAACUGAGACACGGUCCAGACUCCUACGGGAGGCAGCAGUGGGGAAUAUUGCACAAUGGGCGCAAGCCUGAUGCAGCCAUGCCGCGUGUAUGAAGAAGGCCUUCGGGUUGUAAAGUACUUUCAGCGAGGAGGAAGGCAUUAAGGUUAAUAACCUUAGUGAUUGACGUUACUCGCAGAAGAAGCACCGGCUAACUCCGUGCCAGCCGCCGCGGUAAUAC
RNAcentral lists this ribosomal RNA (527 nucleotides) under uncultured bacterium. RNAcentral's name for it is "bacterial SSU rRNA". It matches the Rfam family "Bacterial small subunit ribosomal RNA", at positions 8 to 526 of the family's 1533-position model. The record is from RNAcentral.